CGCGGCCUAUCAGCUUGUUGGUGGGGUAAUGGCCUACCAAGGCUUCGACGGGUAGCCGGCCUGAGAGGGUGACCGGCCACACUGGGACUGAGACACGGCCCAGACUCCUACGGGAGGCAGCAGUGGGGAAUAUUGGACAAUGGGCGAAAGCCUGAUCCAGCAACGCCGCGUGAGGGAUGACGGCCUUCGGGUUGUAAACCUCUUUCAGCGCCGACGAAGCGAAAGUGACGGUAGGCGCAGAAGAAGCACCGGCCAACUACGUGCCAGCAGCCGCGGUAAUACGUAGGGUGCGAGCGUUGUCCGGAAUUAUUGGGCGUAAAGGGCUCGUAGGCGGUCUGUCGCGUCGGGAGUGAAAACUCAGGGCUUAACCCUGAGCCUGCUUCCGAUACGGGCAGACUAGAGGUAUGCAGGGGAGAACGGAAUUCCUGGUGUAGCGGUGAAAUGCGCAGAUAUCAGGAGGAACACCAGUGGCGAAGGCGGUUCUCUGGGCAUUACCUGACGCUGAGGAGCGAAAGUGUGGGGAGCGAACAGGAUUAGAUACCCUGGUAGUCCACACCGUAAACGUUGGGCGCUAGGUGUGGGACUCAUUCCACGAGUUCCGUGCCGCAGCUAACGCAUUAAGCGCCCCGCCUGGGGAGUACGG
This 643-nucleotide ribosomal RNA is filed under the name uncultured bacterium. RNAcentral's name for it is "bacterial SSU rRNA". It matches the Rfam family "Bacterial small subunit ribosomal RNA", at positions 232 to 885 of the family's 1533-position model. The record is from RNAcentral.